This 639-nucleotide long non-coding RNA is filed under the name Gossypium barbadense (sea-island cotton). Its description in RNAcentral is "long non-coding RNA (GBAR_LNC019353)". Lineage: Eukaryota; Viridiplantae; Streptophyta; Magnoliopsida; Malvales; Malvaceae. The record is from RNAcentral.
UCAACCCUGUUGUUAUAUUCACAGAGUUCCCCGAAGUGGUGACAUUGAGAGGGAACUUGCCAUCGCCACUAUCACCAGCUUGGGUUCUCAAAGGGUUGCUAAUGGUUUGGAACUGAGACGAGGUGAGGUAUGUUGGGACGAUGUGGAAUUGCACCAGCUGCACUUUUUGUUCAUCGGUGAGUGAAUUCAAUGUGCCCGAUUUAAGGCUGGAGAAAGCAUUGUCCGUUGGUGCAAAAACGGUCAUACCAUUGUUGGAAUUGUUGAGCUGACCGAGCAGCUGGUUGGCCACUUGAGUGGACUUUAGAAGACGAAUGAAGAGGGUGAAUUGACCAGCUUUUUCGAGGAUCUUGGUGACGUUUGUCGGACCAGAAGGUGCCGGGGCCAGUGCCGGAGAUUGGGCUAAUGUUGUUGAACAACUGAGGGAAAACAGGAUGAGCAACGUGAGAGUAGUGAAGACAUAUUGUUGCCUCAUUGUGGGUUGUAUUGGAAGGUGACGUUAUGGCAACUAAAACAAAGUAAAAUGGAAGGGAAGAAGUGGUCCUUGAACAAAAAUGUUAUGGAUGUUUUGAUUGGAUAAGAAAUGGGAGCUUUUUAUUUAGGAUAUUGGAGGGUGAAGUUAGGUAAAAUAUGCUACUUUAG